GCGUGCCUGCUUGUCCACUUGUUUCUUUCGAAAUUUGUUGUUGCUCACGAAAUGCAGUAGCGGAGCAGCUUUCCUCUCAUUAAUUAAUUAAGAGAACCACCGUGCGUAUAGGCUAGUUGAUUCCAGAUCAACACCAUUUUUCUUUCGGCUACUGCUUUCUGAAUCCUUGCAACGAAGCAUUCACCUUAAGUUCUUGCCGUUGCUGGACAUCCUGGAGACCCGUGUGCGUGCAGUUCGCCGCCUCCGUGAGCUGCUCACCACGAAAUUCCCACCGGGGACAUUCCCUGUCAAGUUGAGCUCAGCUGCUGCAGUUGGAGACAUCUCUGGAGGCGAUGAAGGGGAAGCUUGCGGAUGCCGCACGAUUGGCCUCGGAGUAUGAUGGCAUCUUCUUGCAAAGCUUGACCAGAUUGAAGGCUCCAAGUCUCCUGUCAACAGCAAGUCCCCCUCUGGAGACUAAGAGAAAGCUUAAAGGAAUUUUCGCACGAAACAGUACUCAGGAAAAACUCUUGACUGUAGUAUCACGAAAAACAUGGGUUGUGGAGAAGAAGAUAUUCACUGUGCAAAGCUGCAUCCUCUGGCUGUCCCUGUCCCUGUCCUGCGCUUCAAGAACUGAUGAACUGAUGAACAAGAAUAGUCUUGAAUCUUGAUGAAGGGAGGAGGAACAUGUGGACAGUUUUUCAUCAAGAAGAGAAGAAGCAUGCAUGGUGUCAAAAGUGGUCAAGAAAGGCAUCCAAUGAUGCUUCCUAAGAUGGCCUUAUUCCUCCCCAAGUUAGGGCAAAGCCCCUCCACUGUCAAUCAACAAAAGAAGAUUGUGAGGCUAGGGAACACAAGAUGAACACAAGAUGUUCGAUGAGAUGCCGGUACGGAUGGCGCGCGGGAGCUGUUUGAUGUGAUGCCAGAGAAGGAUGUGGUUUCCUGGACGUUAUGCUGAAACACAAGAUGAACAUUUCUUUUAGGGAACACAAGAUGAACACAAGCUGGACGCUACGCUGAAACUCUUGAUCUAUUCAGGUCAAUGCAGAGCGAGAGCAGUGUCCAGAGCAAGGCAACUUAUGGAGUGCAAGUCAUUGGCCUCAACACACAGCAGGCAGAACUGGGAACCUAGCAGCAAGAACUGGGAACUUGCAUGACGCCGGCGAAGGACGGGGUCCAGCCAUACGCCUGGGAGAGCGGGACAAUGGCGACGGACAUGACGACGGCCUGAGCCUCGCCUCCGCCGGCCGCGGAGGCUGCAGGAGGCGCAGAAGCGGGACAGGUCCUGGCCAGAGGCCGGAGCGGCUGGAGAGGAGCAGAGCACAGGAGGCGGCGCGGCUGCCAUGGAAGCGGAGGCAGUGGUUGGGCGCGGGUGGGGCGACGGCGGGCGAAGAGGAAGGGAGGCAGAAGUGAGAGGUGCCAGUAAAGAAGAGGGCGAGCUCACCUCCCUGACGAGGAUACUCCGGCGCGGCCUUGCUCCAGCCUUCCGUCGGCGAGCUCGACCCUUCCGUCGACGAGGUCGCCUGGGCAGGGGAAGGGGAAGCGUCCGGCGCUGGGAUCUCUCCGCGGGAAAGGGCGGAGCCACGGACAGCAGCGGCGCGCGGUCGCCGGGGAGUAGCGGCGCGCGGUCGCCGGGGAGCAGCGACGGGCGGUCGCCAGGACGCGAGGAACACGACGGGAGGACCUGAUUGCAAAAGUUUUCAAACUUCUAAGGGGUUUUCUGUAAAUUUUAAUUAAAACGCCCGCCCGCCCAGUUUUUCGGGUCGGAGGGAG
Non-coding RNA from Lolium perenne, 1746 nucleotides. The record is from RefSeq and is a predicted model, not a curated record. NCBI's taxonomy places the organism in Eukaryota, Viridiplantae, Streptophyta, Magnoliopsida, Poales, Poaceae.